This 239-nucleotide small RNA is filed under the name Marmota monax (woodchuck). The record is from RNAcentral. Lineage: Eukaryota; Metazoa; Chordata; Mammalia; Rodentia; Sciuridae.
AGAAAAUGCUAAUAUAUAAUGUAUGUGUUAAUUAAUAUUAACUAAUUUGUCAACAUAAUUGUAUUUUUAUAUUUAAUAAUUCUAUCUUUAUCCUGGCAAGGUGUUUUUGUGUGUGUGUGUGUGUGUGUGUGUGUGUGUGUGUUUGUUUGUGUAGUGCUGGGGACUGAACCCAGAGCCUCACAUGCCAGGAAAGCACUCUACCACUGAUCCACAUCCCUAGCCCAUGGCAGAUUAUUUUA